GUGCUCGCUUCGGCAGCACAUAUACUAAAAAAUUGGAACGAUACAGAGAAGAUUAGCAUGGCCACUGCGCAAGGAUGACACGCAAAUUCGUGAAGUGUUGCAUAUUUUG
This 109-nucleotide small nuclear RNA is filed under the name Rhinopithecus roxellana (golden snub-nosed monkey). The record is from RNAcentral. Lineage: Eukaryota; Metazoa; Chordata; Mammalia; Primates; Cercopithecidae.